CCUACGGGUGGCAGCAGUGAGGAAUAUUGGUCAAUGGACGAGAGUCUGAACCAGCCAAGUAGCGUGAAGGAUGACUGCCCUAUGGGUUGUAAACUUCUUUUAUAAAGGAAUAAAACGAGGCACGUGUUCCUUUUUGCAUGUACUUUAUGAAUAAGGAUCGGCUAACUCCGCGCCAGCAGCCGCGGUAAUACGGAGGAUCCGAGCGUUAUCCGGAUUUAUUUGGUUUAAAGGGAGCGUAGAUGGGUUGUUAAGUCAGUUGUGAAAGUUUGCGGCUCAACCGUAAAAUUGCAAUUGAUACUGGCAGUCUUGAGUACAGUUGAGGUAGGCGGAAUUCGUGGUGUAGCGGUGAAAUGCUUAGAUAUCACGAAGAACCCCGAUUGCGAAGGCAGCUUACUAAACUGUGACUGACAUUGAUGCUCGAAAGUGUGGGUAUCAAACAGGAUUAGAUACCCUUGUAGUC
This 460-nucleotide ribosomal RNA is filed under the name uncultured bacterium. RNAcentral's name for it is "partial 16S ribosomal RNA". It matches the Rfam family "Bacterial small subunit ribosomal RNA", at positions 338 to 795 of the family's 1533-position model. The record is from RNAcentral.